Molecule: ribosomal RNA, 478 nt
Filed under: uncultured bacterium
Lineage: Bacteria
Description: partial 16S ribosomal RNA
Rfam family: Bacterial small subunit ribosomal RNA
Source: RNAcentral
GACGAACGCUGGCGGCGUGCUUAAUACGUGCAAGUCGAACGGUAAGGCCCUUCGGGGUACACGAGUGGCGAACGGGUGAGUAACACGUGGGUGUUCUGCCCUGCAUUUCGGGAUAAGCCGGGGAAACUGGGUCUAAUAACGGUUAGGCCCACUGCCUGCUAGGGUGGUGGUGGCAAGCUUUUGCGGUGUGGGGUGGGCCCGCGGCCUAUCAGCUUGUUGGUGGGGUGAUGGUCGACGAAGGCGACGACGGGUAGCCGGCCUGAGAGGGUGAACGGCCACACUGGGACGGAGAUACGGCCCAGACGCCUACGGGAGGCAGCAGUGGGGAAUAUUGCACAAUGGGCGCAAGCCUGAUGCAGCGACGCCGCGUGAGGGAUGACGGCCUUCGGGUUGUAAACCUCUUUCAGCACCGACGAAGCGCAAGUGACGGUAGGUGCAGAAGAAGGACCGGCCGACUACGUGCCAGCAGCCGCCGUAA